Non-coding RNA from Odocoileus virginianus texanus, 3795 nucleotides. The record is from RefSeq and is a predicted model, not a curated record. NCBI's taxonomy places the organism in Eukaryota, Metazoa, Chordata, Mammalia, Artiodactyla, Cervidae.
GCAGCGCCUCGGCCACCCGGCAGGGGCUGGGUUGCCUAGCAACGGCGGGGUCCUCCGUGGCUCGGCGGCGCUCCGGGCCUGAGGGGGAGAAAACCGCUUGAGGGGGAGGUUGGCGCGCGCCCGGGAGCCCGGCCUCUGCCUCCGAGGAGAGAUGAACACGGCCCUAACGCGGGUGGGGCCCGCGGCCGAGCGGCCCGCGCCGCCCGAGGAGGUGGAGGGCUCCGAGGCGGUCGGGAAGGAGCCGGCGGCGGACGCGGCCCCAGGGCCCAGCACGGCCUUCCGCCUCCUGGUGACCCGGCGGGAGCCGGCGGUGAGGCUGCAGUACGCGGUGAGCGGCCUGGAGCCGCUGGCGUGGUCCGAGGACCACCGCGUGUCGGUGUCCACGGCCCGCAGCAUCGCCGUGCUGGAACUCAUCUGCGACGUGCACAACCCGGGCCAGGACCUGGUUAUCCACCGCACAUCGGUGCCCGCGCCUCUCCACAGCUGCUUCCUCAAAGUUGGCUCAAAAAGGGAAGUUGCCGAGUGUAAACAGAGAUUUGCCACCUCUGAAGACCCCACAGUCAGUCAGACUUUCAUGUUGGACAGGGUGUUCAACCCUGAGGGGAAGGCUCUGCCACCACUGAGAGGGUUCAAGUACACUAGCUGGUCCCCCGUGGGCUGUGAUGCUAAUGGGAGGUGCCUCUUGGCCGCACUGACCAUGGACAAUCGCCUGACCAUCCAGGCUAACCUCAACAGACUGCAGUGGGUCCAGCUGGUGGAUCUGACAGAGAUUUAUGGAGAGCGUCUCUAUGAGACCAGCUACAGGUUCUCCAGAAAUGAGGCCCCGGAGGGCAAUCUCAGGGAUUUCGCCGAGUUUCAGAGGCGUCACAGCAUGCAGGCGCCAGUCCGGAUGGAGUGGUCAGGCAUCUGUACCACCCAGCAGGUCAAGCACAACAAUGAGUGCCGCGACGUGGGCAGUGUGCUCCUGGCUGUCCUCUUUGAAAACGGGAACAUUGCUGUGUGGCAAUUCCAGCUCCCGUUUGUAGGAAAGGAGUCUAUCUCUUCAUGCAACACAAUUGAGUCAGGAAUCAACUCUCCUAGUGUUUUGUUUUGGUGGGAAUACGAGCACAACAAUCGGAAAAUGAGUGGCCUUAUUGUGGGGAGUGCUUUUGGGCCUGUAAAAAUCCUUCCUGUCAAUCUUAAAGCAGUUAAAGGCUAUUUUACCUUAAGGCAGCCUGUAGUCUUGUGGAAAGAAAUGGACCAGUUGCCAGUCCACAGCAUCAAGUGUGUGCCACUGUACCACCCUUACCAGAAGUGCAGCUGUAGCUUAGUGGUGGCCGCACGAGGAUCCUAUGUGUUUUGGUGUCUUCUCCUGAUCUCCAAAGCAGGUCUGAAUGUUCACAACUCUCACGUCACGGGCCUGCACUCCCUGCCAAUCGUCUCCAUGACUGCUGACAAGCAGAAUGGGACGGUGUACACUUGCUCCAGUGACGGCAAGGUGAGGCAACUGAUCCCCAUUUUCACAGAUGUGGCGUUGAAGUUUGAGCACCAGCUGAUUAAACUCUCCGAUGUGUUUGGCUCCGUGAGGACACACGGGAUAGCCGUGAGCCCCUGUGGCGCAUACCUGGCCGUCAUCACCACUGAGGGCAUGGUCAACGGCCUCCAUCCCGUUAACAAAAACUACCAGGUUCAGUUCGUUACUCUCAAAACCUUUGAAGAGGCAGCUGCUCAGCUUCUGGAGUCUUCUGUCCAGAAUCUCUUCAAGCAGGUAGAUUUAAUAGACCUAGUACGCUGGAAGAUUUUAAAGGAUAAGCAUAUCCCUCAAUUUUUACAUGAAGCUUUGGAAAAAAAGAUCGAAAGCAGCGGGGCCACCUAUUACUGGCGUUUCAAACUCUUCCUCCUGAGGAUUUUAUACCAGUCGAUGCAGAAAACCCCUUCAGAAGCCUUAUGCAAACCCACUCACGAGGACUCAAAAAUCUUACUAGUUGACUCACCUGGGACGGGCAAUGCUGAGGAUGAACAGCAGGAGGAAGGCACUUCUUCCAAACAGAUUAGUAAGCAAGGCAAAGACGGUGAUCCAGAGGACCCCACAGAGGACUCACUCCCUCAAUCUGGGGAUACUGGAGGCCGAGAGCCAAUGGAAGAGAAACUCCUUGAAAUCCAGGGAAAAAUUGAAGCAGUGGAAAUGCACUUGACGAGGGAGCACAUGAAGCGAGUCCUGGGUGAAGUAUACCUACACACCUGGAUCACAGAAAACACUAGCAUCCCCACCAGGGGACUCUGUAACUUUCUGAUGUCUGACGAGGAGUAUGAUGACAGAACCGCACGGGUGCUGAUUGGACACAUCUCAAAGAAGAUGAACAAGCAGACCUUCCCUGAGCACUGUAGUUUGUGUAAGGAGAUCUUGCCCUUCACAGAUCGCAAGCAGGCCGUCUGCUCCAAUGGCCACAUUUGGCUCCGGUGCUUUUUAACCUACCAGUCCUGCCAGAGUUUGAUAUACAGAAGGUGUUUGCUCCAUGACAGCAUCGCUCGCCAUCCAAUUCCGGAAGACCCUGACUGGAUCAAGAGGUUACUACAAAGCCCCUGCCCUUUCUGCGACUCUCCUGUCUUCUGAGUGUCCAUGGUGGGAAGACAGAGUGUCAUCCAGCCUGAAGAGCUGGGACACACUGGCGCAAGCCUGGCCUCCACAAGUGGAAAGGUGCCCUUGUGAUGCUAAGAUGCAGAAGAAAUCAAGGCUCAUGGGUCUUGUCAGGAAGAACAUGGAGCUGCGUUUAUGGAGUCCCCGCUCCCUGGGCAGUGCUGAACCACAUCAGGCGAGUUGCCGUGGCUCGCAGAGUGAAAGGAGGAGCUGCUGUCAGUGUCUGGCUUCCACAGGUCCGUCCGUCCGUCCCCGCUGCUCCUGACCCGUCACUGCCUCGCCCCUCCUUCCAGGAGAGGCCCUAUUUCCAUCCCUUUUGUUCUCUCAGCCUUAGGACACAAAAUUAGGUUUGUGAUAAGACUUCUAAAAACUACAUUCCUAGAAGGCCUCCCUUCCUAUAAGAAACUAUUAAAUAGUAGUUUUUCUUGCUGAAGGUAAUAUAAUAGUGUUAGCUGUUAAGAGCUCAAUAAACUGUAUCUGAUUUUUUUCCUCAAAGUCUCCCUGUUGGAGUGCCCAGCACCUCCAGACUGAAUUCCAGGCAGAGUGGACUGCAUUUCAGCUCCCUGUCACCCCCCCCCCCCCACCUCCACAUCAGUUAGUCCAGAUAAGCAGAAAUUCAGGUUAUAUUCCAGGUCAGCAGGCCUCAGAUUUUUAAGUGAAAGGUAGAUUUUGCCCCUUUUUUUUCAUUUUAGAGAUUGGACAGCACAGGCAGCAAAGAGCUGGAUAGAUAAAUGCAUUUCUUUAUACUAACCCACCAUGGGCUGUCGAGUGUGAUCACCUCUGUGCACUCUCCUACUGCUCCCUAUGUGGGUGGAGCUCGGCAGGGCUGGUCACCACACAGUGGCUUGAGCAUCUAGCCUCCCCCUCAACAUUGUUGGACUGUUAAAAUGCCUCUAACGGAGCUCAAGUGAAGCAUUUCAGCUCUAGUGGAAGCAUCACCUGGCAGCUACAAGCAGAGUUUUGGGCUAUGUCUCAAGUCUAAUAGGUAUUGAGCUUUUGCACUGCUUGUUCUUGACCCUAAAAGAAGUUUUUGGAGCUAAGAUCUUCAUGUCUGCUGUUCAAACUGAUGUUAGAGUGCAUGCAAUUUGACUGUCAUAAUGAAUUAGGGCUUCCCUGGUGGUUCAGUCAGUAAAGAAUCUGCCUGCAAUGCAGGAGACUUGGGUUCAGUCCCUGGGUUG